RNAcentral lists this long non-coding RNA (621 nucleotides) under Parus major (Great Tit). RNAcentral describes it as "lncRNA (ENSPMJG00000018372.1)". The record is from RNAcentral. Lineage: Eukaryota; Metazoa; Chordata; Aves; Passeriformes; Paridae.
GAAAGAUUGUAUGGUAUCAACAGCUCAAAUAACAAUGGGGGCUUGUGGCCUUCCUGUAUUUCCAUCAAGAAAAUAAAUGUAUUUCCAUCAAGAACUCACUAUUACUUUUCUGGAAAAUACCAGUAAUUCAAGAGCUAAUAGUAACCGUGAAGAGCUUUCCCCAGAAAAGAUGAUCUUGUCCCAGAAAACCUACAGCUUAGGCAUACAACAAAUAAAUUGAUGUAAGAAGCUACUUUGGAGCCUCUGAAGGGAAAUGAACUGGACAGAAGAGUAGAGGAUAAUAGGUAAUAAUAGAAAUGGCACUCAAUGUAACUACUCUGUCACAAUCUCAUCUUUCUUCCAGAAAGACCUGCCUGUUUUUGCCCAUCCAGUUUUUGGGAUUCUUCCUACAUCUUCUGGAGUCAUUAAACCUUUCAUAGUUCAAUAAGUGAAAGAAAAGUUUAUUGUAUCCUUCUCUAAAUGAAAGGUUUGGAGUGAGGCAUGGAGAUGUGAAGAAGAGAUAAUGAACUCUCUUUAAAGAGCAGAAGGAAAAAUUGCUUUACUCUUGGCUUAAACAUGACUUUAAGCCAGCCCAGAACUCCAAUCAUUCUCUGUGCUUCAGUAGUCCAGGGAAAGCACCUG